CAGAUUAAGUUUAAAGGGAAGUAUUUCAUUUACAUUGAAAUAAAUAUUGUGCAAUUCAAUAUAAUCUGA
RNAcentral lists this transfer RNA (69 nucleotides) under Galiblatta cribrosa. Its description in RNAcentral is "tRNA-Val". It matches the Rfam family "tRNA". Rfam says of the family: Transfer RNA (tRNA) molecules are approximately 80 nucleotides in length. The record is from RNAcentral. Lineage: Eukaryota; Metazoa; Arthropoda; Insecta; Blattodea; Blaberidae.